AUUGAACGCUGGCGGCAGGCCUAACACAUGCAAGUCGAGCGGAUGAAGGGAGCUUGCUCCUGGCUUCAGCGGCGGACGGGCGAGUAAUGCCUAGGAAUCUGCCUGGUAGUGGGGGAUAACGUCCGGAAACGGGCCCUGAUCCAGCAUCCGUCCUGAGGGAGAAAGUGAGGGAUCUUUGGACCUCAAGCUAUCAGCUGAGCCUAGGUCGGAUUAGCUAGUUGGUUGGGUAAAGGCCUACCAAGGCGACGAUCCGUAACUGGUCUGAGAGGAUGAUCAGUCACACUGGAACUGAGACACGGUCCAGACUCCUACGGGAGGCAGCAGUGGGGAAUAUUGGACAAUGGGCGAAAGCCUGAUCCAGCCAUGCCGCGUGUGUGAAGAAGGUCUUCGGAUUGUAAAGCACUUUAAGUUGGGAGGAAGGGCAGUAAGUUAAUACCUUGCUGUUUUGACGUUACCAACAGAAUAAGCACCGGCUAACUUCGUG
Molecule: ribosomal RNA, 484 nt
Filed under: uncultured bacterium
Lineage: Bacteria
Description: partial 16S ribosomal RNA
Rfam family: Bacterial small subunit ribosomal RNA
Source: RNAcentral